GACGAACGCUGGCGGCGUGCCUAAUACAUGCAAGUCGAACGCUUCUUUCCUCCCGAGUGCUUGCACUCAAUUGGAAAGAGGAGUGGCGGACGGGUGAGUAACACGUGGGUAACCUACCCAUCAGAGGGGGAUAACACUUGGAAACAGGUGCUAAUACCGCAUAACAGUUUAUGCCGCAUGGCAUAAGAGUGAAAGGCGCUUUCGGGUGUCGCUGAUGGAUGGACCCGCGGUGCAUUAGCUAGUUGGUGAGGUAACGGCUCACCAAGGCCACGAUGCAUAGCCGACCUGAGAGGGUGAUCGGCCACACUGGGACUGAGACACGGCCCAGACUCCUACGGGAGGCAGCAGUAGGGAAUCUUCGGCAAUGGACGAAAGUCUGACCGAGCAACGCCGCGUGAGUGAAGAAGGUUUUCGGAUCGUAGAACUCUGUUGUUAGAGAAGAACAAGGACGUUAGUAACUGAACGUCCCCUGACGGUAUCUAACCAGAAAGCCACGGCUAACUACGUGCCAGCAGCCGCGGUAAUACGUAGGUGGCAAGCGUUGUCCGGAUUUAUUGGGCGUAAAGCGAGCGCAGGCGGUUUCUUAAGUCUGAUGUGAAAGCCCCCGGCUCAACCGGGGAGGGUCAUUGGAAACUGGGAGACUUGAGUGCAGAAGAGGAGAGUGGAAUUCCAUGUGUAGCGGUGAAAUGCGUAGAUAUAUGGAGGAACACCAGUGGCGAAGGCGGCUCUCUGGUCUGUAACUGACGCUGAGGCUCGAAAGCGUGGGGAGCAAACAGGAUUAGAUACCCUGGUAGUCCACGCCGUAAACGAUGAGUGCUAAGUGUUGGAGGGUUUCCGCCCUUCAGUGCUGCAGCAAACGUAUUAAGCACUCCGCCUGGGGAGUACGACCGCAAGGUUGAAACUCAAAGGAAUUGACGGGGGCCCGCACAAGCGGUGGAGCAUGUGGUUUAGUUCGAAGCAACGCGAAGAACCUUACCAGGUCUUGACAUCCUUUGACCACUCUAGAGAUAGAGCUUUCCCUUCGGGGACAAAGUGACAGGUGGUGCAUGGUUGUCGUCAGCUCGUGUCGUGAGAUGUUGGGUUAAGUCCCGCAACGAGCGCAACCCUUAUUGUUAGUUGCCAUCAUUUAGUUGGGCACUCUAGCGAGACUGCCGGUGACAAACCGGAGGAAGGUGGGGAUGACGUCAAAUCAUCAUGCCCCUUAUGACCUGGGCUACACACGUGCUACAAUGGGAAGUACAACGAGUCGCUAGACCGCGAGGUCAUGCAAAUCUCUUAAAGCUUCUCUCAGUUCGGAUUGCAGGCUGCAACUCGCCUGCAUGAAGCCGGAAUCGCUAGUAAUCGCGGAUCAGCACGCCGCGGUGAAUACGUUCCCGGGCCU
RNAcentral lists this ribosomal RNA (1381 nucleotides) under uncultured bacterium. RNAcentral describes it as "bacterial SSU rRNA". It matches the Rfam family "Bacterial small subunit ribosomal RNA", at positions 28 to 1381 of the family's 1533-position model. The record is from RNAcentral.